GACGUACUGCGCGAACGUUAUUCGGAAUCACUGGGCUUAAAGGGUGCGCAGGCGGCUCGUCAAGCCCGUGGUGAAAGGCCCCGGCCCAACCGGGGACGGUCUUCGGGGACUGACGAGCUCGGGCGAUCUAGGGGUCUGUGGAACUCCCGGUGGAGCGGUGAAAUGUGUUGAGAUCGGGAGGAACGCCGGUGGCGAAAGCGACAGACUGGGGAUUUGCCGACGCUCAUGCACGAAAGCCAGGGGAGCGAACGGG
This 253-nucleotide ribosomal RNA is filed under the name uncultured bacterium. RNAcentral's name for it is "partial 16S ribosomal RNA". It matches the Rfam family "Bacterial small subunit ribosomal RNA", at positions 524 to 776 of the family's 1533-position model. The record is from RNAcentral.